CCUUUUCAAACGCCGACCCUCCAGACGUGACACGGGACACCCAACACGCCAGAACAGCCGGACCUGGGGCUCCCCGACCCAAGCCACGCCUGGGGCACAGCGACCUGGGGCGCUGAGGGGUCGCCAGCAGGACUUGCUGGCAGAUUAGACAACUUUCCAGCAACAUCUGUAAAGCUCAUGAGAAGUAAAAAAUACCACAUUUGUAGGAGGAAAGGGGGAGUCGUGUCUAACAAAUACACAGAUCUCCCUUUGAAAGCUGGAGACCAGACUGCCUGCAGCAAUGGAAUUCCCUGCUUCCCAACCUGAGCAAGGGCAGAGGAAAGCAGAAGGGGAAAAAAAAUCCUAGUAGGAAACAUGUUUCACAAUCCUCUGCGGCGAGCGAGCGGCACAAGCUUCCCCGAGAGGAUCUGCGAGGGUGGAGAGCAGCCAGUCGUCCAAAUGCGAGGAGGAGGCCGGGUGCCAGGAGACAGGGAGGCCAGAGGAAUGCCUGGAGGCAGCCUGGCCAUAUGCUUGUGGUAAAAAGCUCCAGGUCAGGAUCAGGCUCGUGUCCAGGAACAGCGAACUUCAGAAGGUGGGACUUGUUAUUGCCCGACCGACGGCCUCCGGCUCCUGCAAACCUCGCUGUCGGGAUAAUGCUCUGCCUUAGGCUUGUUGUUGCGGUAGGAAACGAGGGGGGAAAAGAGAUUUUUGAAAUUAA
Long non-coding RNA from Chiroxiphia lanceolata (lance-tailed manakin), 697 nucleotides. RefSeq lists it as uncharacterized. The record is from RefSeq and is a predicted model, not a curated record. Lineage: Eukaryota; Metazoa; Chordata; Aves; Passeriformes; Pipridae. The transcript has 4 exons.